RNAcentral lists this ribosomal RNA (497 nucleotides) under uncultured bacterium. Its description in RNAcentral is "partial 16S ribosomal RNA". The stretch from base 20 to 341 matches the Rfam family "Bacterial small subunit ribosomal RNA", at positions 47 to 358 of the family's 1533-position model. The record is from RNAcentral.
GAUGAACGCUGGCGGCGUGCCUAAUACAUGCAAGUCGAGCGAACAGACGAGGAGCUUGCUCCUCUGACGUUAGCGGCGGACGGGUGAGUAACACGUGGAUAACCUACCUAUAAGACUGGGAUAACUUCGGGAAACCGGAGCUAAUACCGGAUAAUAUAUUGAACCGCAUGGUUCAAUAGUGAAAGACGGUUUUGCUGUCACUUAUAGAUGGAUCCGCGCCGCAUUAGCUAGUUGGUAAGGUAACGGCUUACCAAGGCAACGAUGCGUAGCCGACCUGAGAGGGGGAUGGCAAACAGGGGAAUGGAGACAGGGACAAAACACAAGGGGGAGGAAGAAGGAGGAAAUCUUCAGAAGGGGGAGAAGGCCGGAGGGAGAAAGGCGGGGGGAGGAAGAAGGGUUUAAGGAUCGAAAAAAUUUUUAAUAGGGAAAAAAAAAAGGUGAAAAAAAAAAGGCAGGUUUGGAGGGAACAAAACAAAAAAACCAAGACAAACAACGGG